CCAACGGUCGUGGUGGGGGUAGUUCGAGGCGGCGUGAAGUAGAACGGUCGGUUGUCCUGAGAGAAUUCUUACGUCAAGGGCGUGGCGAAAGUGCAGAGUGGGGGGGGCUCGGGCCUGGUUGAGGCGCCUUUCGCAUAGUAGUGACAUCACUGCAUGGAAGGGAAGGGAGGACAUAAAGCAGGCCAAGAAAAGCAGUGCGUGGACACUGGGAAGCAAACAAGCAGCUUGUGUCAGCAUCUAGAAAUACCUGCUACCGUGUACACGUAUUGAAGAAAUUAAAGCUUUCUUUGGACAGUUACUUGUUUCAAUCGUGGCCAUGCAAUUGAAAAUAGAAUCCGUUGGGAUUCCACCGUAUCUGUGACACUACACUGCAACGUUGAAGUAAACUUCAUAGUACUUCUUCUAGGUAAUUGUGAUGUAAUGCACCUGCAAUUCCACGUCCAAUAAAAGAUGGUUAAAAAGUGAAAUUCCUGAAGUUUACAAAUUUGUACCCCAAGAACAAACUUCAUGAUGAAUACUGGAAGUUUUGCUAACUAUUUGAUGGCUUCACAGCCCUAAGUGAGGAAAUCUAUUAAAGGUUGAUGCUUCAGAUGUAUCUUGCUGUCUCUUAAAAGUAAUGACAGUUGUUUUAAAAAAGAGUAGUUAUUAUUGUGUUCCUCUUUGAACAUAUGAAUACCAAGGCGAUGCAUGGGAACAGGCUUGAACAUCACCUCACAAUGUGCCCUUUGGAAAACCUGCAGUAAAAAAAAGUGUGAGAAAAAAACAUCAGAAGUUAAAGGACAAACAAUAGACUGUUUAUGAGAGGGUGUAUGAAAAUAAUUUAAUAUUGAUAUAUGGUGACGUUUUCAUUACUUCCUUAAGUCUGGUAAUGCAAAUGUGCAUAAAGAUAAUACAGCACUGAAAUGGCUCUGAGCAGUUGAAGUGGUCUUGCAAUAAGUGAACUUCAGAAUAUUUUACCAGGAUAUCAGCAUCUGAGAUGAGCGUGUGAGCUGUGCAUGAGUCAGAUAAAGGACAAACACAGAAAUCUUAGUUACAAAGAAUGCAAUUACAGAAAGAUGGAGGGAAUAUUCUAACGAGCUCUUUAAUGUUGAAAUGGAUAAAGGCAAACAAACAGCAAAUUUCCAGUCAGCUGAGCUUUUUGUGGAAGAAUCAAGAGGCAGUCACAACACUCAGGAACAAUACGGCACCAGCGAUAUAAAGGAAAUUUCAAGCAUACCAAAAGAAUGUUAUGCCAGUCAAACAGGAAAAAAAGAAAUCUCAAGUGCUGGAGUUAAGAGACCUUCCUGAAAAGUAAGCAAAGACAAGAUAAGUUCCAAAUAGAAAUGUGCUAUUUUUUGGUAAUGAAGAAGCUGUAAUUUGGGGGUGGGAAUUUAUAUAAAUUCAAAGAAAGGGAUUAAAUUCCUUUAUUUUGCUUAUAUAGAGACAAAACUGCAUAUAAGAGUGCUACCAUAAAAAAUUAUUGUUGAUCAACACAUGCAUAGUGUCCUUUGUAGUAAAAAUGGAAAGCUUACAUAUCAUUAUAUCAGUUUUGAGACUGGGACUCAAAGUAGGUUUGUUAUUUUUGUAGAAAAUGCUCUACUUAAGCUGCAGCCAAGAUCUAAGGUUUCUUAGAUCUUAAGUUUCUUAGUUCACACAGAACAUGGUGUGAACUCACACUUCUGUCAGAUGUCUUUAUUCUAUCUCAGUGGUAUCUUGUAAUGAAAGAGCUGCUGUGUUCUUUAGGGAAGUAUGCAUAGAAUCAGUGAGCUUUACUUGAACAUUAAAAUUGUAUAUAAUUAAUUUCUUAAAGAAGACAUGCUCUAAAUUAUCAUGGCUGUUUAAACAGAUGUUAGUGUUACUUCUGCCAUUACUAUAGAAUCCCCAUAUCAAACAUACAGUAAUUCCAGUCACAUUUUAUCACAUUUUAAACACAGAAUUGCAGUGUCUAGGUAAACAACUUAUAGGUAUGGUAAUGGCUGUAGUAUGUAACUGGCCACAUUAAUGACUGGGAGCAGAGUAACAAAGUAAUGGUUGAGGAUUUCUGUCUCUUCCUAUUACAAGGUUCCUGUAAUUCAUAGCGUAGUUACUCAAUUUAUUUCCAGAGAGUUACUUACUACUUACAUGAAGCUUAUAUUUGCUUGUCUGUAUAAAAAUAUAAGGUUAAAUGCUCUCUUCUUUUUGAUGCAGCCAUUAUAUCUAUUAAGAACCUUUUUUAUGUAUCCUCUGUUGCGUUCUUUAUUCUGUGUAUGUAUAUUUCACAGCUGCCAAUUUCUAUGACUAAUUUAUCUAGUUACUAUCUUCUGGCCAUAGGUCUGCUUUCUUGAGGGUGAUUUUAAGAAGCAAAGAUGCACAUAAAAAUAAACAGAAAAUGUUAUACCAAAGCAGGAAUAAAAGGGAGGGGGAAGGGAGUGGGGAGUAUCUGGGAAAAUAUGUAACUUUUUUCCCUAGAAUCAUAGAAUUAUAGAAUCAUAGAAUCACAAGGUUGGAAACAGCCUAUAAGAUCAUCUAGUCCAACCAUCUUCUCAUUACCACUGCUACCACAAGCUACUAAACCAUAUCUUGCAGCUCCUCAUCCAGACAUUCCCUGAGGUGUUUACCUUGAAAAUGCCCAGCAGGUUGUAUCAGACACUCCUUGUCACAGAACUGAACAACACAGCUCAGCUAGUAGGUGCUGUCAUUUGGUUGAAGAAGUUUCAGUUACUUUCAUUUUGAUGGAGUAGAAUUUAAUGUGCAGCUGAUGACAAAACACAACAAAAUUAAAUAAACUUGUCCUUUUUUUCCCCUUGUAUUUCUUUAUUCAAAACCAUCUUCACUGUUGUAUCAUCAAAGGCAUUUUACUACUGUGUGCCUGGAAAGAGUAAAUUAAGGUUUAUGAGUAGCACUAACAAUCAAUUUUGAAUUUGCUCCUGAAUUCUCUUAUAGCAGUAGCUCUGUUUUCAUGCUGUUUUUUUCCCCAAAAUGGUGAUUUGUGUAUGAGACACUGCAGUUAAAAUGUGUAACAAACCUUUUCUGUUACUAUACAAAAGAUUUGAAGAGCAAGUUAAAUAGUUUUAAAAUAUAUUCAGUUUAUAAUUAAUCAAAUUCCUUAGUUUCAGCUUUCGUUAUAGAUUUGCUUUUGUUGUUACUGUGGAAGCCCAUUACAUAAGUUGUUUGCAAAACAUAAUAUCACUGGAAAUUAGUUUCCAUUCUGUUUUAUGUCUUGUGUUUGUGUUGUUUUUUAAAGUAAUGUUCCAUCUUGCAGAUAAGGUAACCAAAAUGGACUGCUACUUUCUCAAUACCAUAGUUAUGUUUAAGAGCAACCUUCAAAGUUGAUAGCAGAUCUGUCUUACUGCAAGGAGUUUUUAUGCUAAAUUCUUUAUGCAACAAAGCUUCCAACCCUGUAUUACAGUUUGUCCAAUUGUAUUUAAUCUCCUCUUAGCCAUUAAGAAGAAUCCUCUCUUCUUUUCAGAAGGUCAUAGCUGAGUAAGUUUAUUGCAUGUGGAAAAUAGGCUUAUUUUUCCUGUGAGGAGUACCAUUUGUUGUGGUGCAAUAGCAUUCCUAACCAAACCUUGGCAACUGUUCAUCUGCUGCUUGAAGAGAACCACACUUUAUACAGGAGGAAAUAAAAGCUGUCUGAUUUUUAUUUUUAUUUUUUACUUUACACUAUUGGAAUAUACAUAUGUCAGAAGAUCCAAGUCUGCCUUAUGUAAACUUGUGUUAAAACCACUACUAUUUAUUUAUGAUAGCAUACUUAAAGAACUGAAGACGUUCAUUAGCUUUAAUGGAUUGUGAGGCCAUAUUUAUUGCUAGUAACAACAAGGGAAUACAGAUUAUAAAUAGCUGUCAUUUCAUAUUAUAAAAUGAAUGUAGAAGCUAGUUACUUGCAAAGUUUGUGGUUCUGCAAAUUCUUCUUUUUGCAAAUGAAAUGAAUGUUACUCUUAAGGUGCCACUGCUUUUUGAGCCUUCUCUCUUAAAUGAUGCUGUGUGCUUUAGAAAAAAUCAAUGCUGCACUGCUAUGUGGACAUAAUUACUAAAGAUUUGGGCCUGGUAGGCUACUAUUCAUUCCUAGAGAAAAAAGAUAAGGAAGCAGCAGUUUGCAUUGCUCAGUAGCUUUAAUGGACUUUGAUCUUCUGUUCUGUGGAUUUGUUCAUUUUAUUUGCACCUAAUUUUAAAAUAUUUUCCCAAAGACCUAUCAUUGACUGUAACCUGAUAAAAGUUUCAUAGGUGGGAGUGUGAAAGCAGUCGCUGAUGGUGCAUUAAUCGGUGCCAGAUGGCACAGCUGGACAAUGUACUGCAACUGUUCUCUGCAUCCUGAAGUUGCCUAUUGAGCAAAGACCUCUAGCAGCACUGUCUUCUUUCUGUAAGGCUGUAUGAUUCAGAGAGAUAUCAAAUGAGAAGGCUGAAGGGCCUUCAUAUUGCUACUGGCAGUUCAAGUAACCAGACCUAUUUUUCUCUCCAAUGCUUCAAGUUUUCUUGGAUGAAAACUCCUUAGAUUUUUCUUUCAGUGUUAAAUAUUUAGCUUCCAAGUGUCUCAGCAGUGUCAAAAGUUUCAUGCUCAACAGGUGGUGGUUUCAGAGUAUUGUAUACACUGUGCCUUCGGAUCAGCCUGUGUGAAACCAUAUGUUAUUUGCCACUUUAUUCGUGUGCUUUUUUUCUCUAGUGCAAUUUGUCAUUGUCCAUAGCACACAACUAUUGCCUUUAUCAUUCACACUUUGUCUGGGAUCAAGUGGUGAACAUGGGAAGCCAUUGGAGCUGUCAGACCUUGAUGCUGGAUCUUCUGUGUAUAAACUGCCAGCGUUUCCAUGGUGCAAUAACAAAAAAGCUCGGUGCAGCUGUUCAUUGAAGUGUGCUUAAGUGCUUUAUUCUCUGCUGUUUGAUUGAGGUAACAUCUAUUUCUGCAAAUGGAUGAAGAUGGAGAAGAUACCUCUACUUUCAGGCAUGCACUUGUACCCAGUGAUUUGUAGGAGGUGUGGAACUAGGUGAUCUUUAAAGUCCCUUCCAACCUAAGCUAUUCUAUGAUUUAUUUCAAAUAAUUCAAU
Molecule: non-coding RNA, 4997 nt
Organism: Meleagris gallopavo (turkey)
Lineage: Eukaryota; Metazoa; Chordata; Aves; Galliformes; Phasianidae
Source: RefSeq, a predicted model, not a curated record